GACAGAGGUGCCGAGCGUUAGGCGGAAUCACUGGGCUUAAAGCGUGUGUAGGCGGAUUCCUAAGUACCUUGUGAAAUCCCAUGGCUCAACCAUGGAACUGCUUGGUAUACUGGGUGUCUUGAGCCAGCUAGGGGCUACCGGAACAAAUGGUGGAGCGGUGAAAUGCGUAGAUAUCAUCAGGAACACCGGUGGCGAAAGCGGCUUACUGGGUCUCUUCUGACGCUGAGAAACGAAAGCUAGGGGAGCGAAGGGG
Molecule: ribosomal RNA, 253 nt
Filed under: uncultured bacterium
Lineage: Bacteria
Description: partial 16S ribosomal RNA
Rfam family: Bacterial small subunit ribosomal RNA
Source: RNAcentral